AUGCAAGUCGAACGCAGUAGCAAUACUGAGUGGCAGACGGGUGAGUAUAAUGUGGGAAUAUGCCUUUUGGUUUGGAAUAACUUGGGGAAACUUAAGCUAAUACCGAAUAAGCCCUUACGGGGAAAGAUUCAUCGCCGAAAGAUUAGCCCGCACUUGAUUAGCUUGUUGGUGAGGUAAAAGCUCACCAAGGCAACGAUCAAUAGCUGUUCUUAGAGGAAGACCAGCCACAUUGGGACUGAGACACGGCCCAGACUCCUACGGGAGGCAGCAGUAGGGAAUCUUGCACAAUGGGGGAAACCCUGAUGCAGCGAUGCCGCGUGAGUGAAGAAGGCCUUUGGGUUGUAAAACUCUUUCGUCGGGGAAGAAAAUGACUGUACCCGAAUAAGAAGGUCCGGCUAACUUCGUGCCAGCAGCCGCGGUAAUACGAAGGGAUCUAGCGUAGUUCGGAAUUACUGGGCUUAAAGAGCUCGUAGGUGGUUAAAAAAGUUGGUGGUGAAAUCCCAAGGCUCAACCUUGGAACUGCCAUCAAAACUUUUUAGCUUGAGUGUGAUAGAGGAAAGUGGAAUUUCUAGUGUAGAGGUGAAAUUCGUAGAUAUUAGAAAGAACACCAAAAGCGAAGGCAACUUUCUGGAUCACUACUGACACUGAGGAGCGAAAGCAUGGGUAGCGAAGAGGAUUAGAUACCCUCGUAGUCCAUGCUGUAAACGAUGUGUGCUAGUCGUUGGAAAUUUAUUUUUCAGUGUCGCAGCAAAAGCGUUAAGCACACCGCCUGGGGAGUACGACCGCAAGGUUAAAACUCAAAUGAAUUGACGGGGACCCGCACAAGCAGUGGAGCAUGUGGUUUAAUUCGAAGAUACGCGCAGAACCUUACCAACACUUGACAUGUUCGUCGCGAGACCAAGAGAUUGGUUUCUUCAUUUAGUUGGACGAAACACAGUGCUGCAUGGGCUGUCGUCAGCUCGUGUC
RNAcentral lists this ribosomal RNA (966 nucleotides) under uncultured marine bacterium. RNAcentral describes it as "bacterial SSU rRNA". It matches the Rfam family "Bacterial small subunit ribosomal RNA", at positions 55 to 1066 of the family's 1533-position model. The record is from RNAcentral.